RNAcentral lists this ribosomal RNA (478 nucleotides) under uncultured Bifidobacterium sp. Its description in RNAcentral is "partial 16S ribosomal RNA". The record is from RNAcentral. Lineage: Bacteria; Bacillati; Actinomycetota; Actinomycetes; Bifidobacteriales; Bifidobacteriaceae.
UUCCAGUCUCCCCUACCGCACUCCAGCCCGCCCGUACCCGGCGCAGAUCCACCGUUAAGCGAUGGACUUUCACACCGGACGCGACGAGCCGCCUACGAGCCCUUUACGCCCAAUAAAUCCGGAUAACGCUUGCGCCCUACGUAUUACCGCGGCUGCUGGCACGUAGUUAGCCGGCGCUUAUUCGAAAGGUACACUCACCCGAAGGCUUGCUCCCAAACAAAAGAGGUUUACAACCCGAAGGCCUCCAUCCCUCACGCGGCGUCGCUGCAUCAGGCUUGCGCCCAUUGUGCAAUAUUCCCCACUGCUGCCUCCCGUAGGAGUCUGGGCCGUAUCUCAGUCCCAAUGUGGCCGGUCGCCCUCUCAGGCCGGCUACCCGUCGAAGCCUUGGUGAGCCGUUACCUCACCAACAAGCUGAUAGGACGCGACCCCAUCCCACGCCGAUAGAAUCUUUCCCACAAUCACAUGCGAUCAUGUGGAA